This 374-nucleotide ribosomal RNA is filed under the name uncultured bacterium. RNAcentral's name for it is "bacterial SSU rRNA". It matches the Rfam family "Bacterial small subunit ribosomal RNA", at positions 525 to 896 of the family's 1533-position model. The record is from RNAcentral.
ACAGAGGGUGCAAGCGUUAGUCGGAGUUACUGGGCGUAAAGCGUGCGUAGGUGGAUAUCCAAGUCGAUUGUGAAAGCCCCGGGCUCAACCUGGGAACUGCAGUCGAUACUGGGUAUCUCGAGUAAGGUAGAGGAAAGUGGAAUUCCCAGUGUAGCGGUGGAAUGCGUAGAUAUUGGGAAGAACACCAAUGGCGAAGGCAGCUUUCUGGACCUAUACUGACACUGAAGCACGAAAGCGUGGGGAGCAAACAGGAUUAGAUACCCUGGUAGUCCACGCCGUAAACGAUGAGAACUAGACGUUGCCUUGCUUUUAGCGGGGCAGUGUCGAAGCUAACGCGUUAAGUUCUCCGCCUGGGAAGUACGGUCGCAAGAUUA